ACUCCGUGGGCGUGGGACCCUCCGAGCCAGGUGCGGGAUAUAGUCUCGCGGUGCGCCGUUUUUUAAGCCCGUCGGAAAAGCGCAAUAUUCGGGUGGGAGUGACUCGAUUUUCCAGGUGCCUCCGUCACCCCUUUCUUUGACUCGGAAAGGGAACUCCCUGACCCCUUGCGCUUCCCAAGUGAGGCAAUGCCUCACCCUGCUUCGGCUCGCCCCUGGUGCGCGCACCCACUGACCUGCGCCCACUGUCUGGCACUCCCUAGUGAGAUGAACCCGGUACCUCAGAUGGAAAUGCAGAAAUCACCCGUCUUCUGCGUCGCUCACGCUGGGAGCUGUAGACCGGAGCUGUUCCUAUUCGGCCAUCUUGGCUCCUCCACCAGAAAUGAUGUAGCUUCUAUCAGGAAUCUGGUAGCAAUGCAAAGCUAAGAGAAGUUAGAACACUUGAAAUUAGCUAAGCGAGAAUGCCAUCAGCAGUGCAUCGAUCUCAGCUGCAUCCAGGUGUAUCAGUUGAAUGGCAGAGGGACUAGAAAUUACAUUUCACGAAGAAAAUUUACAGAACUAAAGAUAUUUAGGCUGCAAAAGAAAAGACUAAGGUAAGCCUGUGGGCAGGUUAAGGUUUAAAACACUAAGAGUUCACCUGUAGACUAAUGCUUAGAAAGAGAAGACAAGAAAAAUGAGGAACGGAAUACAGAGAAACAAAUCUUGGCUUAUUUUAAAUCCUUUUCAGAGAACAGUAUACAAGCAUGGUGAAGAGUGAAAUCUCUACUGCUAAACUACAGAGGUAUCCGAUACAGGUUCUUAAGUGCUGAGGGACUUUGCAUAAAUUACUGAUGCUGUGGUUUUGGUUUUCUCCAGUGUAAAUAGUGUUGAAUACAGUAUCCAUAAAAUACCUGAACAGGUUGAGAAAGGAAAUGUGUAUAAAGUGGUUAAAAAGAGACUGACGCAAAGUAAGUGCUCUAUAAAAAUUGCCUGUAAAAAAUAAGACUACCACAAAUAAUGCUGUCUUUUUUAAUGUAUUUAUUAAAUAUAUGUGGUACUAAAUAAAUGCACAUAUACAUAAAUAUGUUUUAAAACACAUAUAAUAUGCCAAAAUACAUAUUAUUUUAAAAUAAACAAAUAUUGAUGAUGUGGUUUGGCUGUGUUCCCACCCAUAUUGCAUCAACAAUUGUAAUCCAAAUUGUAAUCCCCGUGUGUCAAGGGAGGGACCUGGUGGGAGGUGAUUGGAUCAUGGAGGAGAUUACUCCAUGCUGUUCUUACAGUGCAUAAGUCCUUAUGAAAUGUGAUGCUUUUAUAAGGCAGUUUUCCCUGCUCUUGCUCGCUCUCUCUCUCACCUGCUGCCGUGUAAGACAUGCCUGCUUCUCCUUCUGCUAUGACUGUAAGUUUCCUGAGGCCUCACCAGCCAUGCAGAACUGUGAGUCAAUUAAACCUCUUUUCUUUAUAGGCUACCCAGUCUCUGGCCACUCUUUAUAGCAGUGUGAAAAAGGAGUAAUACAAUUGAUAUUAGCGUAAUGUAUUGACAUUGUAGAAAUUUGAAAAUAUAGAAACAUAUAGAAAAGAAAAAUCACCUCUAAUCUUACUAUUGUUAUCUAAAUGUGCUUUAUUCUAAUUGACUUGAUGAAUUGAGAUCACAG
Molecule: long non-coding RNA, 1628 nt
Filed under: Homo sapiens (human)
Lineage: Eukaryota; Metazoa; Chordata; Mammalia; Primates; Hominidae
Description: HSALNT0026323
Source: RNAcentral